UACAGAGGGUGCAAACGUUGUUCGGAAUUACUGGGCGUAAAGCGUGUGUAGGCGGCCUCGUAGGUCGGAUGUGAAAGCUCUCGGCUCAACCGGGAAAGUGCAUUCGAAACCACAAGGCUUGAGUGUCGGAGAGGAAGGCGGAAUUGUCGGUGUAGAGGUGAAAUUCGUAGAUAUCGACAGGAACACCUGCGGCGAAAGCGGCCUUCUGGACGAACACUGAACGCUGAGACACGAAAGCGUGGGGAGCAAACAGGG
RNAcentral lists this ribosomal RNA (255 nucleotides) under uncultured bacterium. Its description in RNAcentral is "partial 16S ribosomal RNA". It matches the Rfam family "Bacterial small subunit ribosomal RNA", at positions 524 to 777 of the family's 1533-position model. The record is from RNAcentral.